GACGGGACCCGCACAAGCGGUGGAUGAUGUGGAUUAAUUCGAUGCAACGCGAAAACCUUACUACCCUUGACAUGUCCGGAAUCCCGAAGAGAUUUGGGAGUGCUCGCAAGAGAACCGGAACACAGGUGCUGCAUGGCUGUCGUCAGCUCGUGUCGUGAGAUGUUGGGUUAAGUCCCGCAACGAGCGCAACCCUUGUCAUUAGUUGCCAUCAUUUGGUUGGGCACUCUAAUGAGACUGCCGGUGACAAACCGGAGGAAGGUGGGGAUGACGUCAAGUCCUCAUGGCCCUUAUGGGUAGGGCUUCACACGUCAUACAAUGGUCGGUACAGAGGGUUGCCAACCCGCGAGGGGGAGCUAAUCCCACAAAGCCGAUCGUAGUCCGGAUCGCAGUCUGCAACUCGACUGCGUGAAGUCGGAAUCGCUAGUAAUCGUGGAUCAGCAUGUCACGGUGAAUACGUUCCCGGGUCUU
Molecule: ribosomal RNA, 468 nt
Filed under: uncultured Rhodocyclaceae bacterium
Lineage: Bacteria; Pseudomonadati; Pseudomonadota; Betaproteobacteria; Rhodocyclales; Rhodocyclaceae
Description: bacterial SSU rRNA
Rfam family: Bacterial small subunit ribosomal RNA
Source: RNAcentral